Molecule: transfer RNA, 76 nt
Filed under: candidate division BRC1 bacterium ADurb.BinA292
Lineage: Bacteria; Candidatus Sumerlaeota
Also listed under: 1 other name
Description: tRNA-Gln
Rfam family: tRNA
About the family: Transfer RNA (tRNA) molecules are approximately 80 nucleotides in length. Their secondary structure includes four short double-helical elements and three loops (D, anti-codon, and T loops). Further hydrogen bonds mediate the characteristic L-shaped molecular structure. tRNAs have two regions of fundamental functional importance: the anti-codon, which is responsible for specific mRNA codon recognition, and the 3' end, to which the tRNAs corresponding amino acid is attached (by aminoacyl-tRNA synthetases). tRNAs cope with the degeneracy of the genetic code in two manners: having more than one tRNA (with a specific anti-codon) for a particular amino acid; and 'wobble' base-pairing, i.e. permitting non-standard base-pairing at the 3rd anti-codon position.
Source: RNAcentral
UGGGGAGUGGUGUAGCUGGCAACACGUCUGGUUCUGGCCCAGAAGAUCGUGGGUUCGAGUCCUACCUCCCCAGCCA